GAACUCUUGGCGCAGGGGAUGUCCCAGCCCCUUGGUGAAGCUGACUAGGGAAAGCAGCCGAGGAAGACAAGCUAUAAUGAGCAGUCUCUGGAUAACCACCAGUUGGCAUCCCAGCUGAACUCGGCGGCAUUCUAUACAAUGAAGACCCUCCACUUGCAGCACCCAACCCACCCCCCGCACCAGCACCAGUCAACCCACCAUAAACAGUUGAACCUGGUCCGCCAUAGCCAGCUGAUCCUGGUCCACCAUAGCCAGUUGAACCUUGUCCACCAUACCCACCAUACGGCCCACCAAGUCCAGAAUAACCCCCAGCAGCAACACCGCCAUUUCCACUCAAAGCGC
Molecule: long non-coding RNA, 342 nt
Filed under: Gossypium raimondii (Peruvian cotton)
Lineage: Eukaryota; Viridiplantae; Streptophyta; Magnoliopsida; Malvales; Malvaceae
Description: long non-coding RNA (GRAI_LNC000953)
Source: RNAcentral